Molecule: long non-coding RNA, 2708 nt
Filed under: Lactuca sativa (garden lettuce)
Lineage: Eukaryota; Viridiplantae; Streptophyta; Magnoliopsida; Asterales; Asteraceae
Description: long non-coding RNA (LSAT_LNC008453)
Source: RNAcentral
AUCUGGGUAUCUCUCAAGAACCCCACAAUUUUGUCUGUUUUCAUUUGGUUCUUUCUCAAAUCUCCCAAGUUCCAACAAAAUUUCAUCUCUAGGGUUUACCACAUUGUCAUAUCCUCCGAUCUGGGUUUCUCUUCAAUGGAGCAAGAAACUAAAUCUGAAAAGAAGAUGAAGAAAAGCUUAAUUGCAUCGCUAAUGGAGUCCGGCGCCUCCCCCCUCCGCCCUCCGCCGUUCAAGGAAGACACCUACCACCACCAGAAUCUCAAACCCUCAGAAAAGAAAGCACUCGCAGACCUCAAAGACAUGCUCCAUUCCACCUCCAAUUUCCAAGAAUCCAUGUGGGGAAUCCCUCUCACCAUGACAUCGGAAUCAGAAAAGUCCGACGUCAUACUGUUGAAAUUCCUCAGGGCAAGAGAAUUCAAGGUCCAAGAGACGUUCAACAUGCUCCUCAAGUGUCUUUCAUGGCGAAAAGACUUCGGAACCGACUUCAUUGUUGAUGAAGAUUUAGGGUUUAAAGAACUCGAAGGCGUCGUCGCUUACAUGAACGGAUUCGACAGAGAAGGCCACCCCGUGUGCUACAACGCUUAUGGCAUCUUCAAAAACCAUGAAAUGUACGACAAAAUCUUCGGAGACGACGAAAAAUUACAGAAGUUUCUUCGAUGGAGAGUUCAAGUUCUUGAAAGGGGAAUCAAGAUGCUUCAAUUCAAGCCUGGAGGUGUUAAUUCAAUCAUUCAAGUCACCGAUCUUAAAGAUAUGCCCAAAAGAGAGCUUCGUGUUGCUUCAAAUCACAUCCUCUCUCUCUUCCAAGAUAAUUACCCAGAAAUGGUUGCUUGUAAGGUACCCCCUCCCCANUACUAGGGUCCACCCUGGUACGCUCAGCAUACGUUUCGUAUGCCCAACGUACUAACCUAAGGCCCAAAUUACUAUAAUGCCACUAAGGACCAUCCAUGCAAUCUUUUCCAAUUCCAAGGGCUAAAACAUAACAUUAUUCAAACAUUGGAUCGAUAUUGAAAUUACUUGACAUCGGGAUGUUAUACAUUUUUAGAAGAUCGUUUGCUUGAAUAGAAGCAUUCUCUUUCAAAAAAUUGUUUAGAAAAUCUCUUAGUUCUCAUUUUGAGUUUAGACACACCGUAAGGCGCACCUAAAUCCCUCAAACCAAGGCUCCGAUAACAACUUAUAAUAUCCCAAAAAUUACAAAGAGAAUUUUCACUUUUAAAAUAAAUUACCAAUUAAACUCGUCUCAAAAACCGUUGAAGAGAACAUUGUCCCCGAUGCACGGCAUGUCGGGUUUUUAUAUGGAGCAUAAGUCAUAAGAAUUGUUUGGUUAAAAUGGAGCUACCGAGCUAAACACCAUACCCUCUCGCUUUAGUGCACAUUUUGUAGUAUUUUUAUUCAGAAAUAUUAUCCCAAUAUUUUUUCAAUUUUUCUUAUUUUUUAUUUUAAAAAUCUUUUGAAAAAAAUAAACAUGAUAUUUAUUUAUUUAUUUUCAAUUUUCUACGUAUCUUUCCAACAACAAAAUGUUAUUUGAUCGAUUGUAAAUAAAUUUUUGAAUUUUAUUUACAUAUUCUCUUGAAUUUUAUUAGAUAAAAUUAUUUUAGUUUUUUAAAAAAGAAAAACAAACGUACUCUUUCUUUUAUUGAAUACAUUGGUCACAAUCAAUCAUAACAAGAGACCCACCACUGCUGUUCUUGUUUGGUGUUUCUCUUUUCGCUCUCCUCUCAUUUUCCCUUCACAGUCACGCCCCCACAGACACAUUCACAAACUCCUUUCCCUUUCCAUCGUCUGGGAAUCUCCAACAUUUGAAUUUUCUUUUUCAAUCGCAAAUCCCCAUAAUCUUCAGAUACUUUGAUUCUUUCGAUUCCUUUCAUCUGGGUAUCUCUCAAGAACCCCACAAUUUUGUCUGUUUUCAUUUGGUUCUUUCUCAAAUCUCCCAAGUUCCAACAAAAUUUCAUCUCUAGGGUUUACCACAUUGUCAUAUCCUCCGAUCUGGGUUUCUCUUCAAUGGAGCAAGAAACUAAAUCUGAAAAGAAGAUGAAGAAAAGCUUAAUUGCAUCGCUAAUGGAGUCCGGCGCCUCCCCCCUCCGCCCUCCGCCGUUCAAGGAAGACACCUACCACCACCAGAAUCUCAAACCCUCAGAAAAGAAAGCACUCGCAGACCUCAAAGACAUGCUCCAUUCCACCUCCAAUUUCCAAGAAUCCAUGUGGGGAAUCCCUCUCACCAUGACAUCGGAAUCAGAAAAGUCCGACGUCAUACUGUUGAAAUUCCUCAGGGCAAGAGAAUUCAAGGUCCAAGAGACGUUCAACAUGCUCCUCAAGUGUCUUUCAUGGCGAAAAGACUUCGGAACCGACUUCAUUGUUGAUGAAGAUUUAGGGUUUAAAGAACUCGAAGGCGUCGUCGCUUACAUGAACGGAUUCGACAGAGAAGGCCACCCCGUGUGCUACAACGCUUAUGGCAUCUUCAAAAACCAUGAAAUGUACGACAAAAUCUUCGGAGACGACGAAAAAUUACAGAAGUUUCUUCGAUGGAGAGUUCAAGUUCUUGAAAGGGGAAUCAAGAUGCUUCAAUUCAAGCCUGGAGGUGUUAAUUCAAUCAUUCAAGUCACCGAUCUUAAAGAUAUGCCCAAAAGAGAGCUUCGUGUUGCUUCAAAUCACAUCCUCUCUCUCUUCCAAGAUAAUUACCCAGAAAUGGUUGCUUGUAAGGUACCCCCUCC